UGGUUGUGAGUCCAACCUUAACCAGAUGGUGGUCCAUCCAUGACAAUGGGGAAAUCACAGGAUUCCCCACCCAUGGAACACCACCCUCAUCAGAGUGAAAGACCAAAUCAAGCGUGUGACCAGCAAUGUGCAUUGGUCCUGAGACCACUUGGGAUAGGCCCAUAGUUGUCAUGGCCACUAUGAACACCUGAGCUGCCCCAGACAAAUUGGUCCCAACAUGAACAUUAAAGUCCCCCUGUACCACAAGCCUGGGGGACUCCAACACCAAGCCUGAGGCCAGGUCUGUCAGCUCAGUUAGGGACUCUGUUGAGCAGCGGGGUGAUCGGUACACCAACAGAAGUCCCAUUCUGUCCCUGGUCCCCAAACUAAGUACACACAUUUGAUAUGGUUUGACACUCUGGUAAGGGAUCCUGGUAAGGGAGAUAUUUUUCUUUUAGACCACAGCCACUCCACAUCCCCACCCACGGUCCCUCACCCUCUCCUCAACAGAGUACCCUAGAAGUACCCCAGAGUACACUGGGCCCCCAGCCUCCCACAGCCAGAUCUCUGUAAUAAUACCACAUCAGUACCUUCAUCCAGAAUCAAAUCAUGGAUGGUUUCUGGUUUGUUCUGGACUGACCUGGCAUUACAAAGGAGCAAAGGUUACAAGGGUAGUCAGCACUGCUCCCCAAGGUCAAAGCACUGGCAGGACAGCUUAAAGGGGAAACAACUAUUAGGUUUCAAAGUCCCCUUCCCCUGUAAUGGCCCGCUGACCUGCCAAUGUUACUUCUUCUGUUCAGCACCACCACCGGAAUUGCCAUCCCAUGAUCAGUGGAUACUCCCCCUGUCUCCCCAUCUCCAGAUAAGCCCAGACACAUUUAUUACCAGAAUUAAAACAAGAUCACCCAGGACAAAUUAAAACCACAACAUUAAAUACCCACUCACAUGUGAAUUCUUGGGCCAGGAAACCUGUCCCCCAAAGUGGCUCUCCCAAAGGGGCCACUCCACCAUUGGCAAGCCCGCUGCCACAAGCAGCAUCCCUUUAUAGGCCCAGAGAUGACCACCCUGGUUAGAUGGCAAGUAGGGACUACAGAGUCACUCCUGGGCCCCAAAACUGAAGAGAAGCCACAGCCAGAGGCCACAGUCCCACAGGUCAAGCAGGGGGCUGGCAGAUGUCUCACCCUCUCCCUCUCCUGCAGGGAGGCACACAACAGCAGAAGCAACAGCCAUAACUAACACCUGUCUUGCACCCUCCCUGGGGGCUGUCUGGGAAGCAGGUGGUCUCUCCCUCUGCUGCAGGGCUUCUUACGUUCAAGUGAAAUGCUAGCACAUCGUUCUUUUUAAGUAUACAACAAAAUUCAUCUCAUGUUUUGAGGACUAGAAUAAUUUGAUUUUCAAGAGUAUGUUUUGCUUCCUUUUUCCUGUACAUGUUUUUUUUAAAAUUAUUUCUUGAUUUUUUCCUAUUUCUUUUUUUCCUAUUCUGCUCAUGUGGAAGAGGAAUGCUGCAAGUCCAUCAAACAGUAGAGGAGGGAAAAAAGGCCUUGAAGAAUAUAUAAAGGACAGUGAAGAAGAUGCACUUCAAAUGAUGAAUAAUGAGAAACUAUAAACCAAUGAAACAAAGCAGGACUACAAGAAAGAACAAGUCAAGAACCAAGGAGAAAAAUGGAAAAAUAAGCCACUGCAUGGUCAUAUUUGCACAAUAUCGCAGACUGACUACAAACAAAGGCAUGACAAGAUUGUGUGCCUUUCUCACAGGAAGGAAAGAAGGAAGGAAGAAGGAAGGAAGGAAAUGCUUUGGCUGAUCUGAAUUCUUCAAACACCAGCAGGCUUAAGCUUAAAAUGUAUAAAACGUGUGUAGAAGGUGGAAUUUACAGGAGCUUGCUACAGCAGAGUUUGUCUUUCCAUUGAUCUCAGUGGGAAUUGAGAUGGUCCUUAGAGAGGAAGUGCUGAAACAGCCUUAACUGCUCUACUGCUAUAACGGUGAAAGCUGAACAUAAAUUCUUCUACAGAAAUAUAGAAUGUCCUCCUGUCAAUACACAUAUUGUAAAAUGUCUAUAAAAAGGUCAGCUGUUUCUUUAUUACUGACAUAUGGUUUGGAUUAAGGUAAAGGCUAGCACCUUCCACCCUGCCCCCAUGGUUUGCAACAACCUUCCAAAGACCUUUCACAGCAGACAUUGCAGUUUAAAAAUAGAUAAAUGCAGUUUUCCCCCCUGUUUGAGGAAUAUUAUAAAACUGAUUUGAAGACCACAUUUUAAAAGGUUAUUAUGGCAUAUAUCUUUAAGCCAAUUCUGGCCUUUCUAACUUUUCUAACUUUUCUGGAAGCAGUAUAAAGAAAAACUAUGUACGUUAUGGCUUAAUACUAUAAAGCGGGAGGAAAUUGGAUGAACAGGGAUCCCAGAGCAGCUAUUUAGCUCAUGUGAUAGACAUACGAAGUUCCUCUAUUUCACCACUGAAGCCAGUUAUAAUUAUAAGGUUUUAACUUUAUUAAUAAUUAUAGGUUUUGACAUUAAUAAUGGAUUGGAUGACUUUACAAGUUGGGAAAGACAUAGCGGCAGACAUCCAGCCUAGCACUUCACUGGUGCAACAGUACUAUGUUCCAAACUAACACUGCACCUUCACAUGAGUGGAUGAAGGGGAAGUUUUCUGCAGUUUCCUCUUCCCUUUGAAAUCCACUGUACAUCACGAAAAUAUGUCCUUGAGGGUCACAUGUCACUUAGGGAGAUAUUUUCAGGAGGCACAGUGGGCUUCAAUGGAAGGGGAUAUAGUUGAGAAUUGUCCUUUUUCCUGCUUGCACGAUGGCACAGGGUCAAUCUGGAACUCAGCACUGUUUCACCAGUGCAGUGGUCAUCAAGAUGUCAGAUGCCGUAUAUAGAAUUCAGGAUUAUGAGGAUUUUGUUUCUUGUGAAGGAAAUACGAUGGGUGAUACAAGGCUAGAUACCCCUGUAGUACAAAUAUUUGCAGUUGAAAUAUUUUGUUCAGAUUUUGACUAAUCAUCUUUUAGGCUGCAUCAGUUGAUAUGUUGGGAAGGCUAGAUAAUUGUUGGGACUUUAAUUAAAUGAGUGGCUUUCUCUAUACUUUAGACACUGAUCCAAGGAAUAGAGAUUAGAAAGGAUUUUUCAUAAAAUGGCCUGGGACACAGAUUUGGGGACUUUUGGUUUAAACGAAUCGAAUACAAAUGCAACAAAUUUUUAUACACCAUUUUUUCAACAAAAGCUUCCAUAACACCCUACAGUUUGUUACACCCUAAAUAGGCUCAUUACAAGAUCAUAUACUACUACUAUAUGACCCCUGCAGAAUUAAUAGAAUCUGUCAUUCUAGAGUCAGCUUGAGUGGCGUAGCGGGGAAAGUAGCCAGUUCAAAUCCCCGCUGCUACUAUAUCGAGCAGCAGCAAUAUAGGAAGAUGCUGAAAGGCAUCAUUUCAUACUGUGCGGGAGGAGGCAAUGGUAAACCCCUCCUGAAUUCUAUCAAAGAAAUCACAGGGCUCUGUGGGCACCAGGUGUCAAAACUGACUUGAUGGCACACUUUACUUUACCUUUAUCAUACUAGAAGGUUCAAGUGUUGGGAAGAGCACAUUAAACCACAGAUAUUUUGUUCAUCUUUGGUGAAGUUUUGACCCCAUGGUACUGGACACAGGUUGGGAUCAUUGCACAGAUUACAAUCAUCUUUUUAGUAUGGACCUAUCCAUUGUGCUGAAUAAUUCAAACAAGAGAUACAAACUUCUGUAAAAUUUCUGAUAUUUAUUGAUUGCAUUAAUAAAAUGCAAUCAAAUAUUAAUCUGGUGAGACCUUGGAAAAGAGCCCAGGUGCCUGAAACCAAAGAGUGGUAGAUUAAAUAUUGAGAAAUUGCUGAGAUGGAUAAAUUGAUGAAUACAUUUCUCCAUUUCUCCACAGGACUGUUUCUGGCAGAUAGGUGACUACUAUUUAUAAAUGACUGGAACUUGUACUGUAAUUCUGUCACUCUGAGUUGAACUUUGUUUACAAAACUAUUUGUUGUAUUUUCUUAAAAAUAAAAGAAGGAAAUAAAAUUUA
Hemicordylus capensis (graceful crag lizard) is the source of this 4007-nucleotide long non-coding RNA. RefSeq lists it as uncharacterized. The transcript is spliced from 2 exons. NCBI's taxonomy places the organism in Eukaryota, Metazoa, Chordata, Lepidosauria, Squamata, Cordylidae. The record is from RefSeq and is a predicted model, not a curated record.